This 256-nucleotide ribosomal RNA is filed under the name uncultured bacterium. RNAcentral's name for it is "partial 16S ribosomal RNA". It matches the Rfam family "Bacterial small subunit ribosomal RNA", at positions 521 to 776 of the family's 1533-position model. The record is from RNAcentral.
UAAUACGUAGGGAACAAGCGUUGUCCGGAUUUACUGGGCGUAAAGGGCACGCAGGCGGUUUUUUAAGUCAGAUGUGAAAGGUACCGGCUCAACCGGUGACAUGCAUUUGAAACUGAAAGACUUGAGUAUUGGAGAGGCAAGUGGAAUUCCUAGUGUAGCGGUGAAAUGCGUAGAGAUUAGGAGGAACACCAGUGGCGAAGGCGGCUUGCUGGACAAAUACUGACGCUGAGGUGCGAAAGCGUGGGGAGCAAACAGG